RNAcentral lists this ribosomal RNA (851 nucleotides) under uncultured bacterium. Its description in RNAcentral is "bacterial SSU rRNA". It matches the Rfam family "Bacterial small subunit ribosomal RNA", at positions 33 to 889 of the family's 1533-position model. The record is from RNAcentral.
ACGCUGGCGGUGCGCCUUAUGCAUGCAAGUCGAGCGAAGCUUUUCAGUAGUUUACUACAGAGAAUGACUGAGCGGCGAACGGGUGAGUAACGCGUGAGCAACCUACCUUAGUUACUGGGAUAGCCCGAGGAAACUCGGAUUAAUACCGGAUAUUCUUAUUUAAUCACAUGAUUUUUUAAGGAAAGGUCAGCCGAACUAAGAUGGGCUCGCGUUCUAUCAGCUAGUUGGUAGGGUAAUGGCCUACCAAGGCUACGACGGAUAGCUGGUCUGAGAGGACGAUCAGCCACACUGGGACUGAGACACGGCCCAGACUCCUACGGGAGGCUGCAGCAGGGAAUAUUGCGCAAUGAGCGAAAGCUUGACGCAGCGACACCGCGUGUGGGAUGACGGAUCUAGGUUUGUAAACCACUUUCAGGAGGGAAGAAAAUGACGGUACCUCCACAAGAAGCCCCGGCCAACUACGUGCCAGCAGCCGCGGUAAUACGUAGGGGGCGAGCGUUGUCCGGAUUUAUUGGGCGUAAAGAGCUCGUAGGCGGUUCAACAAGUCGGUCGUGAAAGUUCAGGGCUCAACCCUGAAAUGUCGAUCGAUACUGUUGUGACUAGGAUACGGUAGAGGUGAGUGGAAUUCCGAGUGUAGCGGUGAAAUGCGUAGAUAUUCGGAGGAACACCAAUUGCGAAGGCAGCUCACUGGGCCGCUAUAGACGCUGAGGAGCGAAAGCUAGGGGAGCAAACAGGAUUAGAUACCCUGGUAGUCCUAGCUGUAAACGAUGGAUACUAGACGUAGGAAUUGGAUUAACGAUUUCUGUGUCGUAGCUAACGCGUUAAGUAUCCCGCCUGGGGAGUACGGUCGC